GAUGAACGCUGGCGGCGUGCCUAAUACAUGCAAGUCGAGCGAACAGACGAGGAGCUUGCUCCUCUGACGUUAGCGGCGGACGGGUGAGUAACACGUGGAUAACCUACCUAUAAGACUGGGAUAACUUCGGGAAACCGGAGCGAAUACCGGAUAAUAUAUUGAACCGCAUGGUUCAAUAGUGAAAGACGGUUUUGCUGUCACUUAUAGAUGGAUCCGCGCCGCAUUAGCUAGUUGGUAAGGUAACGGCUUACCAAGGCAACGAUGCGUAGCCGACCUGAGAGGGUGAUCGGCCACACUGGAACUGAGACACGGUCCAGACUCCUACGGGAGGCAGCAGUAGGGAAUCUUCCGCAAUGGGCGAAAGCCUGACGGAGCAACGCCGCGUGAGUGAUGAAGGUCUUCGGGUCGUAAAACUCUGUUAUUAGGGAAGAACAAAUGUGUAAGUAACUAUGCACGUCUUGACGGUACCUAAUCAGAAAGCCACGGCUAACUACGUG
RNAcentral lists this ribosomal RNA (497 nucleotides) under uncultured bacterium. RNAcentral describes it as "partial 16S ribosomal RNA". It matches the Rfam family "Bacterial small subunit ribosomal RNA", at positions 28 to 507 of the family's 1533-position model. The record is from RNAcentral.